Molecule: ribosomal RNA, 207 nt
Filed under: uncultured bacterium
Lineage: Bacteria
Description: partial 16S ribosomal RNA
Rfam family: Bacterial small subunit ribosomal RNA
Source: RNAcentral
AGCGCAGGUGGUUUAUUAAGUCUGGUGUAAAAGGCAGUGGCUCAACCAUUGUAUGCAUUGGAAACUGGUAGACUUGAGUGCAGGAGAGGAGAGUGGAAUUCCAUGUGUAGCGGUGAAAUGCGUAGAUAUAUGGAGGAACACCAGUGGCGAAGGCGACUUUCUGGACUGUAACUGACACUGAGGCUCGAAAGGCCAGGGUAGUGAACG